GAUGAACGCUGGCGGCGUGCCUAAUACAUGCAAGUCGAGCGAACGGACGAGAAGCUUGCUUCUCUGAUGUUAGCGGCGGACGGGUGAGUAACACGUGGAUAACCUACCUAUAAGACUGGGAUAACUUCGGGAAACCGGAGCUAAUACCGGAUAAUAUUUUGAACCGCAUGGUUCAAAAGUGAAAGACGGUCUUGCUGUCACUUAUAGAUGGUUCCGCGCUGCAUUAGCUAGUUGGUAAGGUAACGGCUUACCAAGGCAACGAUGCAUAGCCGACCUGAGAGGGUGGUCGGCCACACUGGAGCGUAGACACGGUCCAGACUCCUACGGGAGGCAGCAGUAGGGAAUCUUACGCAAUGGGCGAAAGCCUGACGGAGCGACGGCGCGUGAGUGAUGAAGGUGUUCGGAUCGUAAAGCUCUGUUAUUAGGGAAGAACAUAUGUGUAAGUAACUGUGCACAUCUUGACGGUACCUAAUCAGAAAGCCACGGCUAACUACGUG
RNAcentral lists this ribosomal RNA (497 nucleotides) under uncultured bacterium. RNAcentral describes it as "partial 16S ribosomal RNA". It matches the Rfam family "Bacterial small subunit ribosomal RNA", at positions 28 to 507 of the family's 1533-position model. The record is from RNAcentral.